CACCACAAGGAGCUUUACGGGUAGUGAUCUUAAGAACCUUGGUGGGCAUUCUCACUUGUCCCUUUGUUCUCAGUCUCUUGUCUUUAGCUCCACGUACCAAAUCAGCACACACUAAUAACACAUUUAGACCCAAAUCAUCCAUUUGUAAUCAAUUCUUUUUUUUUUUUUUGUUCAACCCAUUUGUAAUCAAUUCAAAUAAAGCUACAAGCCUGACUUCGUUGGCUUCAUUGCAUAAGCCAUCUUUUCAACCUCUUCUUCUUCUUCUGCAAGUAACAGAAAGCUACAAGUUUAACUUGCUCCUAUUAGUGAAAAGUUAAAGCCUUAUUCACUGGAUUGUGAGGCCUAAUCACUACAAGAGUUUAGUUAGACCUAAACCUAAAGCAAUAAAGUUAUAGCCCACUUAACUGGGCCUAAGGCAGUGUACAUUAUAGAAACACAAAGUAAAGUUCAAGAAAUAAAAUACAUAUAUUAAAAAAUAUUUGAUUAUAAUUACUUUUCUAAUUAAAAUGAUUUUAAAAUAGUAUGUUUUUUGAAAAAUAGAAGAACGAACAACAACAAAUUUAAAAGACGAGCAAUAUUAUUACUACCGGGGACCCCCGCACACAUUAAUUAACCUCGGAAACUCCAACGGAGCCCAACGGCUACUUUCUCCAAACGGCUACUUCUCAGUUUGCAACGGCUCUCUGCUUUCAUAAUUUCCCUUUAUAAUCUGUGUGAGAGAGAGAGAGAACUUCAGUCCACAUCAAAGUAGCUACACAUACACAUACGGAGAACGUUGGCGACGGCUAGUGAAGUAAACGGCGAGUCUGAUGAGUGCAAGAAGCUUUUAAUUACUUCUUUGAGGAUGAAGACAAGAUGAUGAGGGAAUGAGAAGUCUGCUAGUGGGGAAAAGAUGCAACAGAGAGAUACCGCAACCAUCUUCCACGGAUGUUCGAUAUGCCAGACAGACAGUAUGAUCCGACAAAGAAUUUGUAGAGGGAGUGACUCAGAUUGUACAGAUGCUUGAAACAGAAAAAGAGUGAUGGAACUAUGUGUACGUGAUUAGCGUCUUUUGUUUGCUUAGUGUCUUGAGAAUGUUACUAAUUACGACGGAGAGAACAAAAAUAAAAAGAAUUAUCUGUUUUUAUCAGUCUCAUCUCGAAUAUUCUCUCUUGUGUCUGUCUUCUCACUGUGUUGUGUUUUAUCAGUGUGUAAUUCCUUUGUUCCCAAACUUGUAGACUGUUUUCUCAAAUUGAUUUUGUUUAGAUUAUGCUUGUAUCCUUAUUUUGAUACUUGUGUUCUUGAGUUUCUUGAAAUAUGACGUUUUUUUGGUGUGUUUAA
Brassica napus (rape) is the source of this 1320-nucleotide long non-coding RNA. RefSeq lists it as uncharacterized. The transcript is spliced from 2 exons. Lineage: Eukaryota; Viridiplantae; Streptophyta; Magnoliopsida; Brassicales; Brassicaceae. The record is from RefSeq and is a predicted model, not a curated record.